AGAGGACAGUGAGGAUGGAGAGGACAGUGAGGAUAGAGAGGACAGUGAGGAUGGAGAGGACAGUGUCCUCUCUAUCCUCACUGUCCUCUCUAUCCUUGUAA
This 101-nucleotide microRNA precursor is filed under the name Clytia hemisphaerica. Its description in RNAcentral is "microRNA mir-598". Lineage: Eukaryota; Metazoa; Cnidaria; Hydrozoa; Leptothecata; Clytiidae. The record is from RNAcentral.